AAGCGGGGAGUAAUCCUCGCCCUAGAAGAUGGGCCCGCGGCGCAUUAGCUAGUUGGGGAGGUAAAGGCUUCCCAAGGCAACGAUGCGUAGCCGACCUGAGAGGGUGAUCGGCCACACUGGGACUGAGACACGGCCCAGACUCCUACGGGAGGCAGCAGUAGGGAAUCAUCCGCAAUGGGCGAAAGCCUGACGGUGCAACGCCGCGUGAGUGAAGAAGGUUUUCGGAUCGUAAAGCUCUGUUAUCCGAGAAGAACAAGGA
Molecule: ribosomal RNA, 259 nt
Filed under: Salibacterium salarium
Lineage: Bacteria; Bacillati; Bacillota; Bacilli; Caryophanales; Bacillaceae
Description: Bacillus salarius Bacterial small subunit ribosomal RNA
Rfam family: Bacterial small subunit ribosomal RNA
Source: Rfam by way of RNAcentral